CAAUGAAAUUUAAAUAGCCGCAUAUUGUGCUAAGGUAGCAUAAUCAUUCGUCUUUUAAUUUAAGACUAGAACAAAAGAUCUAAUAUUUUAUUAAUUUUCUUUAAUUAAAAUUUUUAAUUUUUCUUAAAUGUAAAAAGACAUUUUUUUUUAAAAAAAACGACAAGACCCUAUUGAACUUAACUUUAGUUAAACUGGGGAAGUCAUAUAACUAUUAUUUUAUAUAAAAUAAUUCAAUAAAAAUCCAUAUAUUUGAUUAACUCAGUUACCAUAGGGAUAACAGCGCAAUCAUUUUCUAAAGUUCUUAUUUAAAAAAUAUUUUACGACCYCGAUGUUGAAUUAAUAACCUAUUAUAAGCAARAUUAUYUUAAGGAAGUCUGUUCGACUUUUAAAAAAUUACAUGAUUUGAGUUCAGACCGGUAUAARCCAGGUCGGCUUCUAUUUUUUAAAAUAAAAAUUUUUACAGUACGAAAGGACCUAAAAAAAUAAUUUAAUUUUCAUAUUGGCAGAAAAAUGCAUUAGAAUUAGAAUCUAAUUAAACUUU
RNAcentral lists this ribosomal RNA (541 nucleotides) under Corticattus guajataca. RNAcentral's name for it is "partial 16S ribosomal RNA". The stretch from base 151 to 444 matches the Rfam family "Archaeal large subunit ribosomal RNA", at positions 2154 to 2717 of the family's 2987-position model. Lineage: Eukaryota; Metazoa; Arthropoda; Arachnida; Araneae; Salticidae. The record is from RNAcentral.